CUGGGGGGACUAUGGGAUUGAAGUCACGCUUUUCGUUAUCCAAAUUUUAUUUUACUGCCAUUUAACAAACACAUGUAUGGCAGACGACACUAACUGUUCGCCGCCGACAAACAUAAAAAAGGUAUACAGUCCCGUAAAAUACAAAAAACAGACUAAAUUAUGUCCUACAUUUCCGGUAACCAGAAAUACCAAAUAGAGGUAUAUAACAUCCCCCGCCCAAAUAUAAAAUUUGAAAAAUUUUGGUCUGGUCACUUGAAAUGCAGACAGCAAUAUAACAUAAUACAAUAAUAAUAAUAAAAAAAAAUACAUUUCAAAUUUGUAUACACCCUUUCUCACUCUGGCAUUACUAACUCCGUACAUGGACACAGUUUUGUUUGUACUUGCAUAUAUACUAUAUCAUAUAUAAGAUGAAUAUAACUUU
This 421-nucleotide long non-coding RNA is filed under the name Mytilus galloprovincialis (Mediterranean mussel). Lineage: Eukaryota; Metazoa; Mollusca; Bivalvia; Mytilida; Mytilidae. The record is from RNAcentral.